This 204-nucleotide ribosomal RNA is filed under the name Alexandrium tamarense. RNAcentral describes it as "partial Bacterial large subunit ribosomal RNA". It matches the Rfam family "Bacterial large subunit ribosomal RNA", at positions 1 to 231 of the family's 2925-position model. Lineage: Eukaryota; Dinophyceae; Gonyaulacales; Pyrocystaceae. The record is from RNAcentral.
UUAAUCAAGGGCACACGGUGGAUGCCUUGGGAUCUAGAGGCGAUGAAGGACGUGGUAAGCUGCGAUAAGCUUCGGGGAGCUGCAACGAGCGUUAAUCCGAAGAUUUCCGAAUGGGGCAACCCGGCAGAUGGAAGAUCUGUCACCGAAAGGAGCUAACCCAGUGAACUGAAACAUCUAAGUAGCUGGAGGAAAAAAAAAAAAAAA